RNAcentral lists this ribosomal RNA (503 nucleotides) under uncultured bacterium. RNAcentral's name for it is "partial 16S ribosomal RNA". It matches the Rfam family "Bacterial small subunit ribosomal RNA", at positions 30 to 523 of the family's 1533-position model. The record is from RNAcentral.
AUUGAACGCUGGCGGCAGGCUUAACACAUGCAAGUCGCGCGGGGUGAUGGUGCUUGCACUAUCACUUAGCGGCGGACGGGUGAGUAAUGCUUAGGAAUCUGCCUAUUAGUGGGGGACAACAUCUCGACAGGGAUGCUAAUACCUCAUACGUCCUACGGGAGAAAGCAGGGGAUCACUUGUGACCUUGCGCUAAUAGAUGAGCCUAAGUCGGAUUAGCUAGUUGGUGGGGUAAAGGCCUACCAAGGCGACGAUCUGUAGCGGGUCUGAGAGGAUGAUCCGCCACACUGGGACUGAGACACGGCCCAGACUCCUACGGGAGGCAGCAGUGAGGAAUAUUGGACAAUGGGGGGAACCCUGAUCCAGCCAUGCCGCGUGUGUGAAGAAGGCCUUAUGGUUGUAAAGCACUUUAAGCGAGGAGGAGGCUCUUUUGGUUAAUACCCAAGAUGAGUGGACGUUACUCGCAGAAUAAGCACCGGCUAACUCUGUGCCAGCCGCCGCGGUAA